UACAGAGGGGGCAAGCGUUGUUCGGAAUUACUGGGCGUAAAGGGCGCGUAGGUGGCCUUCUAAGUUGAACGUGAAAUCCCUGGGCUCAACCCAGGAACUGCGUCCAAGACUGGGAGGCUUGAAUCCGGGAGAGGGAUGCGGAAUUCCAGGUGUAGCGGUGAAAUGCGUAGAUAUCUGGAGGAACACCGGUGGCGAAGGCGGCAUCCUGGACCGGUAUUGACACUGAGGCGCGAAAGCUAGGGGAGCAAACAGG
Molecule: ribosomal RNA, 253 nt
Filed under: uncultured bacterium
Lineage: Bacteria
Description: partial 16S ribosomal RNA
Rfam family: Bacterial small subunit ribosomal RNA
Source: RNAcentral